This 406-nucleotide ribosomal RNA is filed under the name uncultured bacterium. Its description in RNAcentral is "partial 16S ribosomal RNA". It matches the Rfam family "Bacterial small subunit ribosomal RNA", at positions 30 to 526 of the family's 1533-position model. The record is from RNAcentral.
AUUGAACGCUGGCGGCAGGCCUAACACCUGCAAGUCGAGCGAGUGGCGGACGGGUGAGUAAUGUCUGGGAAACUGCCCGAUGGAGGGGGAUAACUCCUGGAAACGGUAGCUAAUACCGCAUACCAUCGGAUGUGCCCAGGUGGGAUUAGCUAGUAGGUGGGGUAAAGGCUCACCUAGGCGCCGAUCCCUAGCUGGUCUGAGAGGAUGACCAGCCACACUGGAACUGAGACACGGUCCAGACGCCUACGGGAGGCAGCAUGGGGGAAUAUUGAACAAUGGGCGCAAGCCUGAUGCAGCCAUGCAGCGUGUAUGAAGAAGGCCUUCGGGUUGUAAAGUACUUUCAGCGGGGAGGCGUUACCCGCAGAAGAAGCACCGGCUAACUCCGUGCCAGCAGCCGCGGUAAUAC